Molecule: ribosomal RNA, 495 nt
Filed under: uncultured bacterium
Lineage: Bacteria
Description: partial 16S ribosomal RNA
Rfam family: Bacterial small subunit ribosomal RNA
Source: RNAcentral
GACGAACGCUGGCGGCGUGCCUAAUACAUGCAAGUAGAACGCUGAAGGAGGAGCUUGCUUCUCUGGAUGAGUUGCGAACGGGUGAGUAACGCGUAGGUAACCUGCCUGGUAGCGGGGGAUAACUAUUGGAAACGAUAGCUAAUACCGCAUAAUAGUAGAUGUCGCAUGACAUUUGCUUAAAAGGUGCAAUUGCAUCACUACCAGAUGGACCUGCGUUGUAUUAGCUAGUUGGUGAGGUAACGGCUCACCAAGGCAACGAUACAUAGCCGACCUGAGAGGGUGAUCGGCCACACUGGGACUGAGACACGGCCCAGACUCCUACGGGAGGCAGCAGUAGGGAAUCUUCGGCAAUGGACGGAAGUCGGACCGAGCAACGCCGCGUGAGUGAAGAAGGUUUUCGGAUCGUAAAGCUCUGUUGUAAGAGAAGAACGAGUGUGAGAGUGGAAAGUUCACACUGUGACGGUAUCUUACCAGAAAGGGACGGCUAACUACGUG